Molecule: ribosomal RNA, 229 nt
Filed under: uncultured bacterium
Lineage: Bacteria
Description: partial 16S ribosomal RNA
Rfam family: Bacterial small subunit ribosomal RNA
Source: RNAcentral
GUUUAGUGGCAAACGGGUGAGUAACACGUGGGAACUUACCCUUCAGAGUGGGACAAGCACUGGAAACGGUGUCUAAUACCGCAUACGCCCUUAGGGGGAAAGGAGCAAUCCGCUGAAGGAGAGGCCCGCGGCAGAUUAGGUAGUUGGUGGGGUAAAAGCCUACCAAGCCGAUGAUCUGUAGCUGGUUUGAGAGGAUGAUCAGCCACACUGGAACUGAGACACGGUCCAG